Molecule: ribosomal RNA, 491 nt
Filed under: uncultured bacterium
Lineage: Bacteria
Description: bacterial SSU rRNA
Rfam family: Bacterial small subunit ribosomal RNA
Source: RNAcentral
AGAGUUUGAUCCUGGCUCAGGACGAACGCUGGCGGCGUGCCUAAAACAUGCAAGUCGAACGAGGCAGCAAUGCCUAGUGGCGAACGGCGGAGUAAGACGUAAGCAACGUGCCCCGAAGUCUGGGAUAUACAGUCGAAAGACUGGGCAAUACCGGAUACGGCCACCAGAAGGCAUCUUUUGGUGAUUAAACGGUUUUUCGCUCCGGGAGCGGCUUAUGGCCUAUCAGCUAGUUGGUGGGGUAACGGCCUACCAAGGCUACGACGGGUAGGGGGUCUGAGAGGAUGAUCCCCCCGAGUGGGACUGAGACACGGCCCACACACCUACGGGUGGCAGCAGUUGGGAAUCUUGCACAAUGGGGGCAACCCUGAUGCAGCGACGCCGCGUGGAGGACGAAGGAUUUAGGUCUGUAAACUCCUUUUGCCAGGAAAGACUUAGGACGGUACCUGGCGAAUAAGCUCCGGCUAACUACGUGCCAGCCGCCGCGGUAAUAC